RNAcentral lists this ribosomal RNA (164 nucleotides) under uncultured bacterium. RNAcentral describes it as "partial 16S rRNA". It matches the Rfam family "Bacterial small subunit ribosomal RNA", at positions 355 to 511 of the family's 1533-position model. The record is from RNAcentral.
UAGGGAAUCUUCCACAACGGGCGAAAGCCUGAUGGAGCAACGCCGCGUGUGUGAUGAAGGGUUUCGGCUCGUAAAACACUGUUGUAAGAGAAGAAUGACAUUGAGAGUAACUGUUCAAUGUGUGACGGUAUCUUACCAGAAAGGAACGGCUAAAUACGUGCUAG